CUUGACUUCCAUAAGAGGUCCAGCCUGCCCAGUGAUACUAUUAAACGGCCGCGGUACCCUGACCGUGCGAAGGUAGCAUAAUAACUUGUUCUUUAAAUGGGGACUAGCAUGAACGGCAUCACGAGGGUCUCACUGUCUCCUUUUUCUAAUCAGUGAAACUGAUCUCCCCGUGAAGAAGCGGGGAUAAAAAUAUAAGACGAGAAGACCCCAUGGAGCUUUAAACCCAAUAGACACCUCUGACUAAUCUAACCCAAAACACUUCUUAAGUUCUGUCUAUUGGUUUUAGGUUGGGGUGACCACGGAGUACAAUAAAUCCUCCAUGACGUACGGGACUUCCCUCUUAUCCUUGAACCACAUUUCUAAGAAUCAACAAAUUGACGUUUGAUGAUCCAAAAUUUUGAUCAACGUACCA
Molecule: ribosomal RNA, 412 nt
Filed under: Fejervarya limnocharis (Boie's wart frog)
Lineage: Eukaryota; Metazoa; Chordata; Amphibia; Anura; Dicroglossidae
Description: partial 16S ribosomal RNA
Rfam family: Bacterial large subunit ribosomal RNA
Source: RNAcentral